ACGAACGCUGGCGGUGUGCUUCACACAUGCAAGUCGAACGGUAAGGCCCUUUCGGGGGUACACGAGUGGCGAACGGGUGAGUAACACGUGAGUAACCUGCCCUCAUCUCUGGGAUAACAGUCGGAAACGGUUGCUAAUACUGGAUAUGAGCUUGCAAGGCAUCUUGUGGGUUGGAAAGAUUUUUUUUGGUUGGGGAUGGACUCGCGGCCUAUCAGCUUGUUGGUGAGGUAGUGGCUCACCAAGGCUUCGACGGGUAGCCGGCCUGAGAGGGCGACCGGCCACAUUGGGACUGAGAUACGGCCCAAACUCCUACGGGAGGCAGCAGUGGGGAAUAUUGCACAAUGGACGGAAGUCUGAUGCAGCAACGCCGCGUGCGGGAUGACGGCCUUCGGGUUGUAAACCGCUUUCAAUUGUGACGAAGCUUUUUUGUGACGGUAGCAGUAGAAGAAGCACCGGCUAACUACGUG
This 467-nucleotide ribosomal RNA is filed under the name uncultured bacterium. RNAcentral describes it as "partial 16S ribosomal RNA". It matches the Rfam family "Bacterial small subunit ribosomal RNA", at positions 29 to 507 of the family's 1533-position model. The record is from RNAcentral.